AACGCGAAGAACCUUACCUACUCUUGACAUCCUGCGAACUUGGUAGAGAUACCUUGGUGCCUUCGGGAACGCAGAGACAGGUGCUGCAUGGCUGUCGUCAGCUCGUGUUGUGAAAUGUUGGGUUAAGUCCCGUAACGAGCGCAACCCUUGUCCUUAGUUGCCAUCAUUUAGUUGGGGACUCUAAGGAGACUGCCGGUGGCAAACCGGAGGAAGGCGGGGACGACGUCAAGUCAUCAUGGCCCUUACGAGUAGGGCUACACACGUGCUACAAUGGCAAGCACAGAGGGCCGCGAAGCCGCGAGGUGGAGCUAAUCUCACAAAGCUUGUCGUAGUCCGGAUUGGAGUCUGCAACUCGACUCCAUGAAGUCGGAAUCGCUAGUAAUCGCGAAUCAGAAUGUCGCGGUGAAUACGUUCCCGGGUCUUGUACACACCG
RNAcentral lists this ribosomal RNA (433 nucleotides) under uncultured bacterium. Its description in RNAcentral is "bacterial SSU rRNA". It matches the Rfam family "Bacterial small subunit ribosomal RNA", at positions 958 to 1392 of the family's 1533-position model. The record is from RNAcentral.